UGGCCCUAUCGUCUAGUGGACUAGGACGUUGGGUUCUCAACCCAAAAACCGGGGUUCGAAUCCCCGUAGGGCCACCAA
Molecule: transfer RNA, 78 nt
Filed under: Dictyoglomus thermophilum H-6-12
Lineage: Bacteria; Pseudomonadati; Dictyoglomota; Dictyoglomia; Dictyoglomales; Dictyoglomaceae
Description: tRNA-Glu
Rfam family: tRNA
About the family: Transfer RNA (tRNA) molecules are approximately 80 nucleotides in length. Their secondary structure includes four short double-helical elements and three loops (D, anti-codon, and T loops). Further hydrogen bonds mediate the characteristic L-shaped molecular structure. tRNAs have two regions of fundamental functional importance: the anti-codon, which is responsible for specific mRNA codon recognition, and the 3' end, to which the tRNAs corresponding amino acid is attached (by aminoacyl-tRNA synthetases). tRNAs cope with the degeneracy of the genetic code in two manners: having more than one tRNA (with a specific anti-codon) for a particular amino acid; and 'wobble' base-pairing, i.e. permitting non-standard base-pairing at the 3rd anti-codon position.
Source: RNAcentral